UCGAGAAUCUUCGGCAAUGGACGCAAGUCUGACCGAGCGACGCCGCGUGCGGGAUGAAGGCCUUCGGGUUGUAAACCGCUGUCGUAGGGGAACAAAUCUACGGGGGUUCUCCCCUGUAGUUGAGUGAUCCUAGGAGGAAGGAGAGGCUAAGCUCGUGCCAGCAGCCGCGGUAAGACGAGCUCUCCAAACGUUAUUCGGUAUCACUGGGCUUAAAGAGUUCGUAGGCGGUCUGGUAGGUGAGGUGUGAAAUCCCCCGGCUCAACCGGGGAACUGCGCUUCAAACCGCCGGACUUGAGGGAGACAGAGGUGGGCGGAACAGAUGGUGGAGCGGUGAAAUGCGUUGAUAUCAUCUGGAACACCGGUGGCGAAAGCGGCCCACUGGGUCUCAUCUGACGCUGAGGAACGAAAGCUAGGGUAGCGAACG
RNAcentral lists this ribosomal RNA (424 nucleotides) under uncultured Pirellula sp. RNAcentral describes it as "bacterial SSU rRNA". It matches the Rfam family "Bacterial small subunit ribosomal RNA", at positions 355 to 774 of the family's 1533-position model. Lineage: Bacteria; Pseudomonadati; Planctomycetota; Planctomycetia; Pirellulales; Pirellulaceae. The record is from RNAcentral. RNAcentral also lists the same sequence under 1 other name.